CGCACGCCUACCUGGACUAUUGACAACUAGACAACUGCUUUACAAAUAGAAUACAUCCUUAAAAAUAUAUACAGCAUAUAAGGUCCAUAUAAGGCCACAUCCGCCUGACAGUUUACCUCCGUUUUGGCUACGGGCACCGGACCCGAUCCGCCUCGCCAGCGCGCCUUCAUUCACCGGGUCUGCGACGGACCCUGUACGGAUGCGUACACCGAACGCGCCCUAACGGUUUAUUUCAUCAGUUUUCUCGCUGAUGGAGUGCUGCCGAGUGUGAGACAAAACGGUGGCGUCUGAAGGCUCACUGUCAUUCACAAGUGGCUCCAGUCUGGUUUGGGGGUCUACCCUUGCUCAUCCUGUCCCGCCACCCAAGUAAAAAGAGAAAUAACUACAGGCCUCUGUAACUGCUGUUUCCAGGUCAUUGUCACAAGUCACAAGUGGGUCUGGUUUGGGGGUCUAGCCUAGCUCAUCCUGUCCUGCCACCCACACAAAAAGAGAAAUAACUACAGGCCUCUGCAACUGCUGUCUCUAGGAGCGGUACGCAAGUGUCCAUUGACAGCCCAGGCAACGGAUACCGACAUUCACCAAUGUGCUGGCGCAUGACCGAGAAGGGGGGACGUCGCAAACGCCAGUGUGAAGGAGCA
Molecule: long non-coding RNA, 638 nt
Organism: Sardina pilchardus (European sardine)
Lineage: Eukaryota; Metazoa; Chordata; Actinopteri; Clupeiformes; Clupeidae
Exons: 6
Source: RefSeq, a predicted model, not a curated record